GAUUUCUUCGGAUUGAAAUUUUAGUGACUGAGUGGCGGACGGGUGAGUAACGCGUGGGCAACCUGCCUCACACAGGGGGAUAACAGUUGGAAACGGCUGCUAAUACCGCAUAAGCGCACAGUACCGCAUGGUACAGUGUGAAAAACUCCGGUGGUGUGAGAUGGACCCGCGUCUGAUUAGCUAGUUGGCAGGGCAACGGCCUACCAAGGCGACGAUCAGUAGCCGACCUGAGAGGGUGACCGGCCACAUUGGGACUGAGACACGGCCCAAACUCCUACGGGAGGCAGCAGUGGGGAAUAUUGCACAAUGGGGGAAACCCUGAUGCAGCGACGCCGCGUGAGCGAAGAAGUAUUUCGGUAUGUAAAGCUCUAUCAGCAGGGAAGAAGAAAUGACGGUACCUGACUAAGAAGCACCGGCUAAGUACGUGCCAGCAGCCGCGGUAAUACGUAUGGUGCAAGCGUUAUCCGGAUUUACUGGGUGCAAAGGGAGCGUAGGCGGCACGCCAAGCCAGAUGUGAAAGCCCGAGGCUUAACCUCGCGGAUUGCAUUUGGAACUGGCGAGCUAGAGUACAGGAGAGGAAAGCGGAAUUCCUAGUGUAGCGGUGAAAUGCGUAGAUAUUAGGAAGAACACCAGUGGCGAAGGCGGCUUUCUGGACUGAAACUGACGCUGAGGCUCGAAAGCGUGGGGAGCAAACAGGAUUAGAUACCCUGGUAGUCCACGCCGUAAACGAUGAG
RNAcentral lists this ribosomal RNA (734 nucleotides) under uncultured bacterium. Its description in RNAcentral is "bacterial SSU rRNA". It matches the Rfam family "Bacterial small subunit ribosomal RNA", at positions 70 to 813 of the family's 1533-position model. The record is from RNAcentral.